GACGAACGCUGGCGGCGUGCUUAACACAUGCAAGUCGCACGGUAAGGCCCUUCGGGGUACACGAGUGGCGAACGGGUGAGUAACACGUGGGUGAUCUGCCCUGCACUUCGGGAUAAGCCUGGGCAACUGGGUCUCCUCCCGGAUAGGACUCCGGACUGCAUGGUCUGGGGUGGAAAGCUUUUGCGGUGUGGGAUGGGCCCGCGGCCUAUCAGCUUGUUGGUGGGGUGAUGGCCUACCAAGGCGACGACGGGUAGCCGGCCUGAGAGGGUGACCGGCCACACUGGGACUGAGAUACGGCCCAGACUCCUACGGGAGGCAGCAGUGGGGAAUAUUGCACAAUGGGCGCAAGCCUGAUGCAGCGACGCCGCGUGAGGGAUGACGGCCUUCGGGUUGUAAACCUCUUUCAGCAUCGAUGAAGCGAAAGUGACGGUAGGUGCAGAAGAAGGACCGGCCAACUACGUGCCAGCCGCCGCAGUAA
Molecule: ribosomal RNA, 478 nt
Filed under: uncultured bacterium
Lineage: Bacteria
Description: partial 16S ribosomal RNA
Rfam family: Bacterial small subunit ribosomal RNA
Source: RNAcentral